This 214-nucleotide unclassified non-coding RNA is filed under the name Hevea brasiliensis (rubber tree). The record is from RNAcentral. Lineage: Eukaryota; Viridiplantae; Streptophyta; Magnoliopsida; Malpighiales; Euphorbiaceae.
CGAGAAAGGAGGUCGAGCAGAAUGGCCUUGCGCUGAGACGGAUUCGUGGCAGUGGAUUGAAGCGCGCGAGGAAAGUAAAGAUCUUCCUGCAACGAAAGCCUUUCCGACAAGCAAUCCAUGGCUUCACAACUCAAUCCUUUCGCAGCGGCUGUCUCCGCCGUCUCCGUCGUCGCCGUUUCCAUCUUCUCCUCUCGCCGCCGUCUCUUCCCCGGUG